RNAcentral lists this ribosomal RNA (347 nucleotides) under uncultured bacterium. RNAcentral's name for it is "partial 16S ribosomal RNA". It matches the Rfam family "Bacterial small subunit ribosomal RNA", at positions 338 to 682 of the family's 1533-position model. The record is from RNAcentral.
CCUACGUGUGGCAGCAGUGAGGAAUAUUGGUCAAUGGACGAGAGUCUGAACCAGCCAAGUAGCGUGAAGGAUGACUGCCCUAUGGGUUGUAAACUUCUUUUAUAGGGGAAUAAAACGUUCCACGUGUGGGAUUUUGUAUGUACCAUAUGAAUAAGGAUCGGCUAACUCCGUGCCAGCAGCCGCGGUAAUACGGAGGAACCGAGCGUUAUCCGGAUUUAUUGGGGUUACAGGGAGCGUAGGUGGAUUGUUAAGUCAGUUGUGAAAGUUUGCGGCUCAACCGUAAAAUUGCAGUUGAAACUGGCAGUCUUGAGUACAGUAGCGGUGGGCGGCAUUCGUGGUGUCGCGGU